This 1322-nucleotide long non-coding RNA is filed under the name Marmota monax (woodchuck). The record is from RNAcentral. Lineage: Eukaryota; Metazoa; Chordata; Mammalia; Rodentia; Sciuridae.
AUUAAAGAGGAGAUUUAAAAAUUCUUAGAUGUAAAUGAGAACACUGAUAAAACAUAUCAAAAUCUCUGUAACACUAUGAAGGCAGUAUUAAGAGGAAAGUUCAUUGCAUAUAGUUCAUUCCUUAAAAGAAGAAAAAGUCAACAAAUAAAUGACCUAACAUUACAUCUCAAAGCCCUAGAAAAAAAAGAACAAUCAACACCAAAAGCAGUAGAAGAUAGGAAUUAAAACAGAGCAGAAAUCAACAAAAUUGAAACAAAAGAAACAAUUUUAAAAAUUGACAAAACAAAAAGUUGGUUCUUUGAAAUAAUAAAUAAAAUUGAUAAAUGCUUGGCCAUGCUAAUGAAGAGAAGGAGAGAGAAAACUCAAAUUACUAACAUCCGUGAUGAAAAAUGAAAUAUCAUGAUGGACACCACAGAAAUACAGAAGAUAAUUAGAAAUUAUUUUAAAAAUUUGUACUCCAAUAAAAUAGAAAAUAUUGAAGGCAUCAACAAAUUUCUAGAGUCAUAUGAUUUGCCCAAACUGAACCAGGAUGAUAUACACAAGUUAAAUAGACCAAUUUCAAGCAAAGAAAUAGAAGACACCAUCAGAAACCUACCAACCAAGAAAAGACCAGGACCAGAUGAAUACACAGAAGAGUUCUAAAAGACCUUCAAAGAAGAACUAAUACCAACUCUCCAAAUUGUUCCAUGAAAUAGAAAAAGAAGGAGCACUUCCAAACUCAUUCUAUGAGGCUAAUAUCACCCUGAUUCCAAAACCAGGCAAAGACACAUCAAAGAAAGAAAACUUCAGACCAAUAUGUCUAAUGAAUAUGGAUCCAAAACUUCUCAAUAAAAUUCUGGCAAAUCAAACACAAAAACAUAUUUAAAAAGAUAGUACACCACGUUCAAGUGGGGUUCAUUCCAGGGAUGCAAGUUUGGUUCAACAUACAGAAAUCAAUAAAUGUAAUUCAUCACAUCAAUAGACACACUUCAAAAGAUUAGAAUCAGAUGAUGCAGAAAAAGCAUUUGACAAAAUACAGCACCUCUUCAUGUUCAAAAUACUAGAAAAACUAGGGAUAAUAGAAACAUGUCUCAACAUUGUAAAAGCUAUCUAUGCUAAGCCAAGACCAACAUCAUUCUAAAUGGAGAAAAAAUUGAAAGCAUUCCCUCUAAAAACUGGAACAAGAUAGGGAUACCCUUUUCACCCCUUCUAUUUAACAUAGUUCUUGAAAUCUAGCCAAAGCAAUUAAACAGACAAAAAAAUUAAAGGGAUACGGAUAGGAAAAGAAGAACACAAACUAUCACUAUUUUCCGACAACAUGAUUCUAUACCUAGAAGAUUCAA